This 94-nucleotide microRNA precursor is filed under the name Nicotiana sylvestris (wood tobacco). Its description in RNAcentral is "mir-156 microRNA precursor family". It matches the Rfam family "mir-156 microRNA precursor family". From Rfam's summary of the family: This family represents the plant microRNA (miRNA) precursor mir-156. Animal miRNAs are transcribed as ~70nt precursors and subsequently processed by the Dicer enzyme to give a ~22nt product. In plants the precursor sequences may be longer, and the carpel factory (caf) enzyme appears to be involved in processing. The record is from Rfam by way of RNAcentral. Lineage: Eukaryota; Viridiplantae; Streptophyta; Magnoliopsida; Solanales; Solanaceae.
GUGACAGAAGAGAGUGAGCACAGGUGGUGUUUUCUUGCAUUGAUAUAUAUAUGUAUAUGCUUGAAGCUAUGCGUGCUCACUCUCUAUCUGUCAC